Molecule: ribosomal RNA, 253 nt
Filed under: uncultured bacterium
Lineage: Bacteria
Description: partial 16S ribosomal RNA
Rfam family: Bacterial small subunit ribosomal RNA
Source: RNAcentral
UACGUAGGGUGCAAGCGUUAAUCGGAUUUACUGGGCGUAAAGCGUGCGCAGGCGGUGUUGUAAGACAGAUGUGAAAUCCCCGGGCUCAACCUGGGAACUGCAUUUGUGACGGCAUCGCUGGAGUACGGAAGAGGGGGAUGGAAUUCCGCGUGUAGCAGUGAAAUGCGUAGAUAUCUGGAGGAACACCGGUGGCGAAGGCGGCAUCCUGGACCGGCAUUGACGCUGAGGAGCGAAAGCCAGGGGAGCAAACGGG